RNAcentral lists this non-coding RNA (31 nucleotides) under Mus musculus (house mouse). The record is from RNAcentral. Lineage: Eukaryota; Metazoa; Chordata; Mammalia; Rodentia; Muridae.
CUUGAACAGAGGCAGUCUAUGGUUCUAGAGC